This is a small nuclear RNA of Lemur catta (Ring-tailed lemur), 141 nucleotides long. RefSeq annotates it as U4 spliceosomal RNA. The record is from RefSeq and is a predicted model, not a curated record. The transcript has a single exon. NCBI's taxonomy places the organism in Eukaryota, Metazoa, Chordata, Mammalia, Primates, Lemuridae.
AACUUUGCACAGUGGGGGUAUCAUAGCCAGUGAGGCUUAUCUGAGGCUCUGUUGUUGAUAAUUGAAAACUUUUCCCAAUACCCUAUGGUGACGACUUGCAAUAUAGUCAGCAUUGGCAAUUUUUGAUAGUCUCUAUGGAGA